RNAcentral lists this ribosomal RNA (467 nucleotides) under uncultured bacterium. RNAcentral describes it as "partial 16S ribosomal RNA". It matches the Rfam family "Bacterial small subunit ribosomal RNA", at positions 28 to 507 of the family's 1533-position model. The record is from RNAcentral.
GACGAACGCUGGCGGCGUGCUUAACACAUGCAAGUCGAACGGAAAGGCCUCUUUCGGGGGGUACUCGAGUGGCGAACGGGUGAGUAACACGUGAGUAACCUGCCCUUGACUUUGGGAUAACUUCAGGAAACUGGGGCUAAUACCGGAUAGGAGCUCCUGCUGCAUGGUGGGGGUUGGAAAGUUUCGGCGGUUGGGGAUGGACUCGCGGCUUAUCAGCUUGUUGGUGGGGUAGUGGCUUACCAAGGCUUUGACGGGUAGCCGGCCUGAGAGGGUGACCGGCCACAUUGGGACUGAGAUACGGCCCAGACUCCUACGGGAGGCAGCAGUGGGGAAUAUUGCUCAAUGGGUGGAAGCCUGAUGCAGCAACGCCGUGUGCGGGAUGACGGCCUUCGGGUUGUAAACCGCUUUCGCUCAUGACGAAGCUUUGUGUGACGGUAGUGGGUAAAGAAGCACCGGCUAACUACGUG